This 1471-nucleotide long non-coding RNA is filed under the name Felis catus (domestic cat). RNAcentral's name for it is "lncRNA (ENSFCAG00000052665.1)". Lineage: Eukaryota; Metazoa; Chordata; Mammalia; Carnivora; Felidae. The record is from RNAcentral.
ACCACAUUGCAAUGACCUAAAACAACAAAGAUUUAUUAUCUUAUAGUUCUGUAGUUCUGAAUUCUACAACAAGUCUGCCUGGACAAACACGAGGGUGUCUUGUUGGCAGGAUUGUCUUUCUUGGUGGAUGCUCUGGGGAGAAUCUGUUUUCUUGCACAUUCCAGCUUCUAGAGGCCACCACAUUCCUUCUCUCAUGCCCCUUUCUCCAUUUUUGAAUCCAGCCUAGUGUUGAAUUCUCAAACACUGCUUCACUCCGACCUCUUCUGACUUCCUCUUCCACAUUGAAGGAGAUGUGUGAUUACAGUGGGCCCACAUGGAUAAUACAGGAUAAUAUCCCUUUUUUAAAGUCAGAACUUUAAUUCCAUCUUCUACCUUGAUUCCCCUUUGCUAUGUGAUAUGACAUAUUCACAGGUUCUGGGAAUUGUGACAUGGACAUCUCAGAGAGGGGGUCAUAAUUCUAUUACAGUGGCUUAGAAAUUCUGGUGCAUCUUAACUGAGGGUCUCUCGUGAGGUUGCAGUCAAGAUGUCAGCUGGUCUUGGUAGAUGCACGUCUCAGAGAUGAGGGCUGAAGCAGUGAGAGAACUGGGAGACAUGGCUAAGAGAGAGCAUAUCCUAGAGAAAAAAGAGAAGAAGGACAAAGCCAUGGUUGACGCAGUCAAAGGAACAAUGGAUCACACAGGGCAGAAUCACAGAAUCAAGGGGAAAAGAGGGGGUGCUGAACAGCAUCACAUGCUUGGGGGAGAUCAAGAGAAUGAAGCUGGAGAAAAUGUCAUUGGAUUUGGAAAUAAACAGUUCACCAGUAACCUCUUCAAGCUCUCAGGAAGGCAGUGAGAGGAAGCUGGGGUGCAGGGGUGGGGUAGAGGAAAUGGGAUGAUGAGUGGCUCCAUUUUUCAUCCAGAAAGGUUGGCAGGGAAAGGGAAGAGAGAACAGGAUCGUAGCUGGAGGGCACAGCAGGACCCAGCAAAGGUUUUUCCAAGGGGGAGGCAGGGGGACCUGUGCAUGUCUGGAAUACAUCUGAUUUCAAGGCUUGCCUCUGCUUCCAGAUGUGCGACAGUCCAUACAAUAACAUCUCCAUCCGUCAGCUGAGCUGUAGUCCUGCUCUCACGAAGGCUUCCAUGUUUACUAACGUAUGCUGUUAAUUUUGUCUGCCUCGUAGUGGACAGUAUAUUGCCUGGCACUUGUCAAAGGAUUCCUUGCACUUGAUUUAUAUCUACAUUACCAAUCGGCAGCAUUGAUUGCAUACUGACCAAGAGUUCAGUUUCUGAAGUGAGACAGACCUGGUGCUACUAGCUAUGCAGCCUUGGGCCAGUUAAUAUCCCUUAACCUCCAUUUCCUCAUCUGGAAAUCAGGGAUCAUAUCUAUCACAGAGUAUUUUCAGUAGCAUUAAAAGAGCUAAUCCAUGCAUUGUGCUUAACACAAUGCCUGGAACAUAAAAGCUCUAUACAUGCACGGCAACUAUUAGUAGUCUUGG